GAUGAACGCUGGCGGCGUGCCUAAUACAUGCAAGUCGAGCGAAAGGACGAGACUCUUGCGUCUCGGAUGUUAGCCGAGGACGGGAGAAAAACACGAGUAUACCCUACCUAUCAGACUGAGAUCACUACGAAAAACGGGAGAAUAUCCGGUAUGAUAUUUUGCACCGCAUGGUGGAAUGGAAAGAUUCGGUGUUUCUGGCACGACUCGAGGGAUACGCGCUGCUUUAGCUAGUUGGGAAGGUAACGGCUUACCAAGGCAACGAUGCAUAGCCGACCUGAGAGGGUGAUCGGCCACACUGGAACUGAGACACGGUCCAGACGCCUACGGGAGGCAGCAGUAGGGAAUCUUCCGCAAUGGGCGAAAGCCUGACGGAGCAACGCCGCGUGAGUGAUGAAGGUCUUCGGAUCGUAAAACUCUGUUAUUAGGGAAGAACAUAUGUGUAAGUAACUGUGCACAUCUUGACGGUACCUAAUCAGAAAGCCACGGCUAACUACGUG
Molecule: ribosomal RNA, 497 nt
Filed under: uncultured bacterium
Lineage: Bacteria
Description: partial 16S ribosomal RNA
Rfam family: Bacterial small subunit ribosomal RNA
Source: RNAcentral